UACGGAGGGUGCGAGCGUUAAUCGGAAUUACUGGGCGUAAAGCGCACGUAGGCGGUUGGGUAAGUCGGAUGUGAAAGCCCUGGGCUUAACCUGGGAACUGCAUUCGAUACUGCUCGGCUAGAGUAUGGGAGAGGGAAGCGGAAUUUCCGGUGUAGCGGUGAAAUGCGUAGAUAUCGGAAGGAACACCAAUGGCGAAGGCAGCUUCCUGGGCCAAUACUGACGCUCAGGUGCGAAAGCGUGGGGAGCAAACAGG
This 253-nucleotide ribosomal RNA is filed under the name uncultured bacterium. RNAcentral's name for it is "partial 16S ribosomal RNA". It matches the Rfam family "Bacterial small subunit ribosomal RNA", at positions 524 to 776 of the family's 1533-position model. The record is from RNAcentral.